Molecule: ribosomal RNA, 180 nt
Filed under: BTEX-degrading bacterium enrichment culture
Lineage: Bacteria
Description: partial 16S ribosomal RNA
Rfam family: Bacterial small subunit ribosomal RNA
Source: RNAcentral
GGCAGCAGUGGGGAAUAUUGGACAAUAGGCGAAAGCCUGAUCCAGCCAUGCCGCGUGUGUGAAGAAGGUCUUCGGAUUGUAAAGCACUUUAAGUUGGGAGGAAGGGCAGUAAGCUAAUACCUUGCUGUUUUGACGUUACCGACAGAAUAAGCACCGGCUAACUCUGUGCCAGCAGCCGCG